RNAcentral lists this ribosomal RNA (440 nucleotides) under uncultured bacterium. Its description in RNAcentral is "partial 16S ribosomal RNA". It matches the Rfam family "Bacterial small subunit ribosomal RNA", at positions 338 to 795 of the family's 1533-position model. The record is from RNAcentral.
CCUACGGGCGGCAGCAGUGGGGAAUAUUGCACAAUGGGGGAAACCCUGAUGCAGCGACGCCGCGUGAGCGAUGAAGUAUUUCGGUAUGUAAAGCUCUAUCAGCAGGGAAGAAAAUGACGGUACCUGACUAAGAAGCCCCGGCUAACUACGUGCCAGCAGCCGCGGUAAUACGGAGGGGGCAAGCGUUAUCCGGAUUUACUGGGUGUAAAGGGAGCGUAGACGGCGGUUCAAGGCAGAUGUGAAAGCCUGGGGCUCAACCCCGGGACUGCCUUUGGAACUGGGCUGCGCGAGUGCCGGAGAGGCAGGCGGAAUUCCUAGUGGAGCGGUGAAAGGCGUAGAUAUUAGGAGGAACACCAGUGGCGAAGGCGGCCUGCUGGACGAUGACUGACGUUGAGGCUCGAAAGCGUGGGGAGCAAACAGGAUUAGAUACCCUAGUAGUC